This is a long non-coding RNA of Oncorhynchus tshawytscha (Chinook salmon), 1961 nucleotides long. NCBI's taxonomy places the organism in Eukaryota, Metazoa, Chordata, Actinopteri, Salmoniformes, Salmonidae. The record is from Ensembl.
CCAUUUGUAUGGCUAAACCAGAUAUAAUACCAUCUGUAUGGCUAAAACAACAACAACAACAACACGGAACAUUCCGGCAACGGGCCGGCGUCAUGGCAACGCCCUUGCAUGGCAAUCCAAUUUAUUGAACUACAGAUGCUGGGUUAUACAAAAUACACCACUUCAAUUAAGGCUUUUUAGUUUACAUUUGGCCACGCCCCCUCUGUUUGUCCCUCCCCAGCCCCUCCCCCUUAAUAGGCAGAUGACGUUGCAUUUCCAAUACUGUGGCUCUGUGAGGGGACAUGGUACACACGGUCUGUCCACCAUGCUGCUGUUGGUUAUCAUCACAGCAACACAAAGCGACAAAGGCAUUCUCUUACAAGAGGUCAACAGAGGUCACGCAACUCACAACAAACGUGCAACUUUAAACCCCCCCCUCCCCCUCCAUCUCAAAUGGCAACCUAAGCCCAUAGGGCUAUAGUCAAAAGUAGUGCCCUAUGUAGGGAAUAGGGUGCCAUUAGGGACGUACACCCCCCGUCUCAUCCAAGUUCUGCCUGUUCCUCCUCCUCCAUCAUCAUCUCUACAUUGCUGUGGUUCUUAUUGUAUUUCAGUCUUAUUCCCUGCUGCUUCAAACACAUUAGUUUGUCCCCCUCCCCCACAUUCACUAUAGAACAGAUAACAACCCCACACGGUUACUCUUCAUCAUCAUCAUCAUCAUCAUCAUCAUCAUCAUCAUCAUCAUCAUCAUCAUCUGACAGACUGACAGGAAACAGGUCAAACCAAGUAUUACACAGGUGAAAUAGUCACUAACAGGCAAGUUUCUUUACUGACAGGAUCCAAUAUUUGGUUUUCAUGUCCUCAGCUGACAACAGAUGCAUUAGCAAGCAAGGGGACAGGGGAGGGCUGGGAGAGAUGGGGAGGGGCUGGGGGAGAGGGGGAGGGGCCGGGGGAGGGCUUGGGGAGAGGAGUGAGAUAGGGGAAAGAGGCUAGGGGACAGGGGGAGAUAGGGGCUGUGGGAGGGAGGGAGAAGGGGAGAGAGGGGGACAGAGGCUAGGGGACAGGGGAGAUAGGGGCUGUGGGAGGGAGGGAGAAGGGGAGAGAGGCUAGGGGACAGAGGGAGAUAGGGACAGAGGCUAGGGGACAGGGGGAGAUAGGGGCUGUGGGAGGGAGGGAGAUAGGGACAGAGGCUAGGGACAGGGGAGAUAGGGGCUGUGGGAGGGAGGGAGAUAGGGACAGAGGCUAGGGGACAGAGGCUAGGGGACAGGGGGAGAUAGGGGCUGUGGGAGGGAGGGAGAAGGGGAGAGAGGCUGUUAUAGAAAAGGAAAGGGAGUACAGUGAGAAUCUACAGUAGCGUUUUCCAAACUCGGUCCUGGCCCCGCCCCCCCCUGGGUGCAUGUUUUGGUUCUUGCCCUAGCACUACACAGAUUACUCAAAUAAUCUUCAAGCAUGAUUAUUUGAAUCAGCUGUGCAGUGCCAAAAGGUGUCCCCCUUGGGGUCCCCUGGACCUAGUUUGGGAAACACUGCUCUACAACAACAGAAGUGUGGAGAAUGACAUCACCAAUGACAUUAUUUCAUUUAUUUUUUCGUAUUAAAAACCCUAAUUUAAAAAUAAAAAAAAAUCUAUACUUCCUGUUGUAGAUCGCAGAUUCCAUGAGAGGGGAUUGGCUAACUGGACAAACCAACCAAUGAGAGACGGCCUUGGAAGGAUAAAGUAAAAAAAAAAAAAAAAACAUGAUGAGGAUCGCCCAGUCACUUCAGCCAUUGGUGUCUCAGAAGUUUGGUCGCUUGUUAAAAUGUCCAGUCCCUCUUUGACCACAACCCCAAUUGAAAAACCCCACUGUACAAACAUCUUUGUAAACAACACAAGGGUUGCCUCCAAAAUUGCACCCUAAUUCCUUAUAUAGUGUACUACUUUUGACCAGGGCCCAUAGGGAAACCAAGAGGGAAACCAGUAGGGAAACCAGUAGGGAAACCAAUAGGGA